UGAUAGAGGAGCAGAAACGAUGAGUCCCCCGCUGGCAAUGCCGGCAAGCAGCCGCGGGCAAAAGGCAAUUCUGCCGAAGUUGUUUUACGGUUGCCGCCGUAAGGCUGCUGGGUUAGCGCCAAACAGGUGUUAAACUGUCAUAUUAUUAUGGAGCGCUAUCA
This 161-nucleotide non-coding RNA is filed under the name human gut metagenome. Its description in RNAcentral is "Lysine riboswitch". It matches the Rfam family "Lysine riboswitch aptamer". From Rfam's summary of the family: Riboswitches are metabolite binding domains within certain messenger RNAs that serve as precision sensors for their corresponding targets. Allosteric rearrangement of mRNA structure is mediated by ligand binding, and this results in modulation of gene expression. This family includes riboswitches that sense lysine in a number of genes involved in lysine metabolism, including lysC. The record is from RNAcentral.